UUUUUUUAAAAGAACGGCACACUAUUUUCUGUAGUGGCUGCCCCAUUUUACCCCCCCCCCCCCAGCAGGGCAGAAGGGUUCCAAGUCCCCUGAAUCCGUGCCAACCCUUAUUCCUUUCUACUUACUUAUAGUAGUCAUCUUAAUGUAUAUGUGGCGAUAUUUUAUUAUUUAAUCUGCAGUGGCCUAAUGAAUGACGUUGAUGAUCUUUUUUUUAAAAAAUAUUUUAUUUAUUUAUUUACUUACUUACUUAGCAUGCCGAUGGUUAGGUAAGAGCCAGAGGAAGAGGGGGAGAGAGGGAAUCUCAAGCAGUCUCUGCGCUAAGUGCGGAGCCUGACGCAGGGCUCCAUCUCACAACCCUGAGAUCAUGACCUAAACCGAAAUCAAGAGCCGGAUGCUCAACCAACCGAGCCCCCCAGACGCCCCUGAACAUCUUUUUAUGUGCACGUUGGCCAUUUGUAUAUUGUCUUUAGAGACAUGUCUCUUCUAAUUUUUUGCCCAUUUUAAAAAUCUUAGUUUUUUGGUGUUUUGUUGUUGGCUUGUAGGAACUCUUUAUAUAUAUUCUGGACAUUAACGCCAUUUCAGAUAUAUGAUCAGUGGAUAUUUUCUUCCAUUUGUGAGUUGCCUUUUCACUCCAUUGAUUUUGUUCUCUGAUAUGCAGAAGCUUUGACAUUUGAUGUGGUCCCACGUACUUAAUUUUGCUUUGUUACUGACCCUUUUGCAUCGUAACCAAGAAUCAUUGUGCAUCCAGUAUCAUGAAGCUUCUUUCCUGUUUUUGACCCCCACCCCAGAAUUUUAUAGUUUUAGAUCUUUUAUUUGAUCUUAAUCCAUUUCAAGUUCAAUUUUGUAUGGUGUUAAGUAAGGUCCCAACUCUCUCUCAUUUUAUUUUAUUUUAUUUUUUUGCAUGUGGAUAUCCAAUUUUCCCGACACCAUUUGUAGAAAAGACUGCCCUUUCCCCAUUGAGUAGUCUUGGCACCCUUGGUGGAGGUCAUGUGACCAUGUAUGUGAAGGCUUAUUUCGGGACUCUCUAUUUUUUUUUUUUUAAAGAUUUAUUUAUUUAUUUGACAGACAGAGAUCACAAGCAGGCAGAGAGGCAGAUAGAGAGAGAGGAGGAAGCAGGCUCUCCGAGGAGCAGAGAGCCCGAUGCGGGGCUCGAUCCCAGGACCCUGAGAUCAUGACCUGAGCCGAAAGCAGAGGCUUUAACCCACUGAGCCACCCAGGCGCCCCCGGACUCUCUAUUCUAUUCCUUUGGUCUCUAUGUCUGUCUUUAUGCCAGUACCACACUGUUUUGAUUAUGGUAGCUUUGUAAUGAGUUUUUUUUUUUUUUUUAAGAUUUAUUUAUUUAUUUAUUUGACAGACAGAGAUCACAAGUAGGCAGAGAGGCAGAGAGAGGAGGAAGCAGGGUCCCUGCUGAGCAGAGAUUCCCGAUUCGGGGCCUGAUCCCAGGACCCUGGGAUCAUGACCCGAGCUGAAGGCAGAGGCUUAACCCACUGAGCCACCCAAGUGCCCCUGUAAUGAGUUUUGAAAUCAGGAAGUGUGAGACUUAUUUCUCCUUCUUUUUCAAGAUAAUUUUGGGUAUUUGUGGUGUCUUGAGAGUCCAUAUAAAUUUAAGAUGGAUUUUUUCCUAUUUAAAAUUUUUUUUUUUUUUUUUUUAGAGAGAGGCUGUGAGGGGCACCUGGGUGGCUCAGUGGGUUAAGCACCUGCCUUUGGCUCAGCUUGUACCGGGACGUGAAGCAGAGGAUGUGCGUGCCGAAGAUUGGCCUGGAGCGUUGAUCUGUGGUGGCCUCUUCACUCGAGACAUCAAAACACGUGUUCUGCUUUCUACCAUCCCCCCCAAAAGCAGCUGGGAAUGGAGACGCAGAGCCCAAACCGCCAGUUCAAAGCGUUGUGCCAGUGGCUGGGACUCAGUCUUCGACACGACCGAAACCUCACCAGUUUGGACCGCAUUUCCCCAAACCCAGCUCGAUGGUAUCUUCAGAGGCUUGGGGAGGCAGAGUCAAGACACUGGUGUUCAGCAGGAGGACAAGGUUCCACGGUCUUCUGCUCUCGGAUUGUGGGGACCGCCCUCCUGGCUCCAUACACGGGACCCUUGUCCUCAGAUGCUGGAAGGUGAGGCGCGGGCGCCGCUGAGAGUGGGGCCUUGCGAAACACCAGGGGUGGCAUGAAGGAAGAGACCGGGGAGAGGCGCUCGUCGGGACCUUGACCCCAGGUCCCUGGGGCGGGAAGUGAGAGCUGGCCGAGUGUUCACGGAACAGGCCGAAACGUGCAACAUUUCAACAACACUUCAACAACACUCCUUUACCUGCAGUGGGUGGGCUCGGUCCUAAGUGCCUUCUAAGCAGCAGUUCCGUUAAUCCUCCCAAGAGCCCUUGGAGGCAGGACUAGUGUCCUCCGCACUUGGCCAGCAAGGGCAAGGAGCGGCAGAGAGGUUAAUUUAAACGGCUCGCCUGGAGCACCUGGGUGGCUCAGUCGGCACAGGUCAUGAUCCUGGGGUCCUCGGAUGGAGCCCCUCAUGCAUCGUAUUGGCUCCCUGCUCGGUGGGGAGCCUGCUUCUCCCUCUCCCACUCCCCCUGCUCGUGUUCCUCUCUCCCUGUCCCUCUCUCUGUCAAAUAGAUAAAUAAGUAAAAUCUUUUAAAAAAAAAUGAUUUGGGGCGCCUGGGUGGCUCAGUGGGUUAAGCCUCUGCCUUCGGCGCAGGUCAUGAUCCCAGGGUCCUGGGAUCCAGCCCCCCAUUGGGCUCUCUGCUUCGGGGGGAGCCUGCUUCCCCUUCUCUCUCUCUGCCUGCUUGUGAUCUCUCUCUCUGUCAAAUAAAUAAAUAAAAUCUUUAAAAAAAAAAAAAAAAAGAUUUGUCCGAGGUCACAUAUCCAGGAAGGAGCAACUCUCAGUUCUCAGCACCGAGCGCGAGUGGGAAGCUGGACCCCGGGCUGUUCAGCCAAUACGUAGGAUAAGGGUUGAGAUUUCCCGCAGGGCAGGCCAUGCGCUGGGAUCCGGCCUGAGUGUGGAAACAGAACACCACUUCUGCUCUCGCAGAACACGUGGUCCAGAGGGAGAGACAGACACCAAUGGUUACAGCCCGGGUUACACAAAUCAGUGCUGGGAGAUGAGCCCGGGGACUGAGUGACUGCUGUGGGCCCUGCCCUGUUAUCAGCCAGGCUUAUCUCUUCCUCCUCGCAAAAACCCCUCAAGGUAUCAUUGGCCCCAUUUUGUCGCAUGAGUAAAGUGAGGCUUAGAGAGAUUCAGUAAUUUGCCUAAGGUCACAGCAAGGAAGUGGCAGAUUUGGGACUCCCAAAUCUAGGGAAGUGUGCAGUUCUGGGAGGGUGCAUAACCAGAAGGGUUUCCCAGAGGAGGUGCUGCUGCCUUGAGUUGUAUGGGACAGGGGAUUGGUCCAUGGAGAGGAGGGUGUUCCAAGCAAAGGAAACCACCCACAAAGGCCCAGAG
Molecule: long non-coding RNA, 3433 nt
Organism: Mustela lutreola (European mink)
Lineage: Eukaryota; Metazoa; Chordata; Mammalia; Carnivora; Mustelidae
Exons: 3
Source: RefSeq, a predicted model, not a curated record